AGCGGCGGACGGGUGAGUAAUGCCUAGGAAAUUGCCUUGAUGUGGGGGAUAACCAUUGGAAACGAUGGCUAAUACCGCNUANUGCCUACGGGCCAAAGAGGGGGACCUUCGGGCCUCUCGCGUCNNGAUAUGCCUAGGUGGGAUUAGCUAGUUGGUGAGGUAAUGGCUCACCANGGCGACGAUCCCUAGCUGGUCUGAGAGGAUGAUCAGCCACACUGGAACUGANACNCGGUCCAGACUCCUACGGGAGGCAGCAGUGGGGAAUAUUGCACAAUGGGCGAAAGCCUGAUGCAGCCAUGCCGCGUGUAUGAAGAAGGCCUUCGGGUUGUAAAGUACUUUCAGUUGUGAGGAAGGGNGNNNNGUUAAUAGCGNUAUCUCUUGACGUUAGCAACAGAAGAAGCACCGGCUAACUCCGUGCCAGCAGCCGCGGUAAUACGGAGGGUGCGAGCGUUAAUCGGAAUUACUGGGCGUAAAGCGCAUGCAGGUGGUUCAUUAAGUCAGAUGUGAAAGCCCGGGGCUCAACCUCGGAACUGCAUUUGAAACUGGUGAACUAGAGUACUGUAGAGGGGGGUAGAAUUUCAGGUGUAGCGGUGANNUGCGUAGAGAUCUGAAGGAAUACCAGUGGCGAAGGCGGCCCCCUGNNCAGAUACUGACACUCNGAUGCGAAAGCGUGGGGAGCAAACAGGAUUAGAUACCCUNNNANUCCACGCCGUAAACGAUG
This 721-nucleotide ribosomal RNA is filed under the name Vibrio sp. MR04-39. RNAcentral's name for it is "partial 16S ribosomal RNA". It matches the Rfam family "Bacterial small subunit ribosomal RNA", at positions 94 to 811 of the family's 1533-position model. The record is from RNAcentral. Lineage: Bacteria; Pseudomonadati; Pseudomonadota; Gammaproteobacteria; Vibrionales; Vibrionaceae.